Xenopus tropicalis (tropical clawed frog) is the source of this 470-nucleotide long non-coding RNA. RefSeq lists it as uncharacterized. The record is from RefSeq and is a predicted model, not a curated record. The transcript is spliced from 2 exons. NCBI's taxonomy places the organism in Eukaryota, Metazoa, Chordata, Amphibia, Anura, Pipidae.
UUUCCUGGUAUCCUGGUGGGCCAGUCCGACACUGAUCCCAAUAGCAUUGUCUUACCACCAAUAAGGAUUAAUUGCAUUUUAGUUACCGUCAGUGCUGCAUUUAGGUCUGGUGACACCCUAGGUACCGGGCCUUAAUACUUCUCCUCCAUAUGCGGGGGUCACAGCCAUGGCACACAGCGAACCCCCUCACACGCACACAUUUUACACUCCACCCCCGUGCUUCGGCACCGGAUUUCCGAACAAAAGUUGGCCAUACAUGGUAAGAGUGGAUCUUCUCCCGAUAUCCCCACCUACGGGUGGGGGAUACCAGGCUAAUUCGGUCAUUUGGCCCUGGGAAAAGUAAGAAAAAAUGUAUAUAUCUCUGAACGGACUUCUUGUGUGCUCUCACAAUAAUUAGGAAACAAAGUAGAGGUGGAUGCUGGCCAUAUUCAUGCAGUGCUCCACUGCCAUAACACCAUGGGGGAAAAAGG